This 553-nucleotide ribosomal RNA is filed under the name Limnonectes shompenorum (Shompen frog). RNAcentral's name for it is "partial 16S ribosomal RNA". It matches the Rfam family "Bacterial large subunit ribosomal RNA", at positions 1819 to 2596 of the family's 2925-position model. The record is from RNAcentral. Lineage: Eukaryota; Metazoa; Chordata; Amphibia; Anura; Dicroglossidae.
CGCCUCUUGAUCAAACAUAAGAGGUCCAGCCUGCCCAGUGAUUCACUUAAACGGCCGCGGUAUAAUAACCGUGCAAAGGUAGCAUAAUCAUUUGUUCUUUAAAUAGGGACUCGUAUCAACGGCACCACGAGGGUUAUACUGUCUCCCCCUUCUAAUCAGUGAAACUGACCUCCCCGUGAAGAGGCGGGGAUUAUAUUACAAGACGAGAAGACCCCAUGGAGCUUUAAACCCAAUAAUAAUUUUUAACUAAAUAACCUACAAAAAACUAUAAAAAUUCUAUCUAUUGGUUUUAGGUUGGGGCGACCGCGGAGUAAAACAAAACCUCCUUGACGAACAGGUCUCAUCCUAAUCCAAGAGCCACUGCUCUAAGAAUCAAAAAUUUGACGUAACAUGAUCCGGUAACCGAUCAACGAACCAAGUUACCCUGGGGAUAACAGCGCAAUCCAUUUCAAGAGCUCCUAUCGACAAAUGGGUUUACGACCUCGAUGUUGGAUCAGGGUAUCCAAGUGGUGCAGCCGCUACUAAAGGUUUGUUUGUUCAACAAUUAAUACCC